AGGUACUGCGCUCCAUUAUUAAAAAUUGCUUAAAUAAGUGCAACUCGUAUGGAAAGAAAUCCAUCGCUUUCCCAGCUAUUGGAACAGGAAUAUUGAGUUUUCCGCAUGACGUUGCUGCAAAAAUAUUUUUUGAAGAAACCAAAGAAUUUGAGAAGAGAAUUACAAACUGCACAAUAAAAGAAGUUAGUUUUGUCGUCUACAAUCAAGAUGCCAAAUCAAUUGAUGCAUUUAAGAAUGAAUUAAAGAAACAGGCAGAGUGGGACAGCAGUGGACUUGCUGCGACUGUUCCAGUUGUGUCGCCAACAAAAAAACGAAGAACGAAACGAAAUUUCAAUUUGAAGUCAACAGGCACCAAAAACGAUUCGCCCCCGAUCUCAAAAAGUGGCCUUGACGAAGCUAAUAAUAGUGUCAUGUGUGUUCAAGUUGGUGAGGAUAAAGAAUUCGAGAUCUUGAAAGGGGACAUAACGAAAGAAACAACCGAUGUAAUUGCCCACUUGACCAAUCCAGGUAUGAGUUUGAGAGGCGGUGUGGCUAUGGCUUUGACCAGGGCCGGAGGAGAAGAUAUAGAACGUGACUGCCAAGAUAAAGUUGAAUCUACUAAGCUACAAAUUACAACAACAGUCCUAACAACCGCGGGAAAAUUGGGUGCCAAGUAUGUUGCUCAUAUGAUCGCCUCUAACGAUCCUAGCUCCAACGAAGUUGAAAAGUGCAUAAGCAAUUGUCUUAAAGCAGUUAGCGAAAACGAAUGUGAAAGUAUUUCAUUUCCCGCUGUCGGGACAGGCUCCUUGAAGCAUGACCCUGAAAAAGCCGCCACAGCAAUUCUUACGUCCGUCGUACGCUUUCUUGAAUCAAGUUCUGGACCACUCAAGACCAUCCGUAUUGUACUGAAAGAUGACGACCUAGUCACAGCAUUUCAAGCAUCGGCUAAAAGGCUUAAUGAAGACGAAGAACCGGGAAUGUUGAAGAGAUUUGUGAACUUUUUCUGGAAAUCCGACUCAACAACAAUAAGUGUGAAGGAAAAGCCACCAGUAAUAAAGAAGAAACUAUUCUUGGAAAUUUAUGCAAAAGAUUUGGGCACAGUUAAUCGCGUGAAGGACAGAAUUUUAAAUAUUAUGGAAUCUCAGAAUAAGAGGGAGAAGAUAGACGAUGAUAAUAUUGGAAAACUAUCAGAGAAACAAAUAAAUGAAAUUAAACACUUGUGUGAAAUCAACGAUAUCAAAGUUACCAUUCAGAAAGAACUUAACCGUAUUGUUGUAGUUGGACACAGUGAUGACAUUUUCAAAACGUCUGGCGAAAUCAACAAACUUUUGAGAGGAAUUGGCGAGGCAGAAAAGGAAAAGGAGAAGGCGGAAUUGCAUGCUGAUUGGGCCGAGAUUGUUUCUCAAGGGGUACAGUGGUUCUACGUAGAUUCAACAAGUGGUGAUUAUGAGGAGUACGAUAAGCAAACAAACGCCAAAAUCGAGAAAGCUUACAGGAAAAAGGAAACAUCCGUUAUUAUUCUUGUUGAUGAUGAAAAAUGUGAAAUUGUAUUCGAUAAGAUGCAAGAGUCUAAUUUGGAGACAGGUGACACCAUAAAGGUCAUCAGGAAAGAUCUUAAAG
Molecule: long non-coding RNA, 1599 nt
Filed under: Paramuricea clavata
Lineage: Eukaryota; Metazoa; Cnidaria; Anthozoa; Malacalcyonacea; Plexauridae
Source: RNAcentral